This 65-nucleotide ribosomal RNA is filed under the name Eugenia pisiformis. Its description in RNAcentral is "partial 28S ribosomal RNA". It matches the Rfam family "Eukaryotic large subunit ribosomal RNA", at positions 1 to 62 of the family's 3401-position model. The record is from RNAcentral. Lineage: Eukaryota; Viridiplantae; Streptophyta; Magnoliopsida; Myrtales; Myrtaceae.
ACGCGACCCCAGUUCAAGCGGGGCUACCCGCUGAGUUUAAGCAUAUCAAUAAGCGGAGGAAAAGA